Molecule: small RNA, 125 nt
Filed under: Marmota monax (woodchuck)
Lineage: Eukaryota; Metazoa; Chordata; Mammalia; Rodentia; Sciuridae
Source: RNAcentral
GCCAGAUGUGGUGGUGUAUGCCUGUAAUCCCAGCAGCUCAGGAGGCUGAGGUAGGAGGAUCGUGAGUUCAAAGCCAGCCUCAACAACGAUGAGGUGCUAAGCAAUUCAGUGAGACCCUGUCUCUA